UUUACAUUUUACGUACCAUUUUCGUCUUUUUACCAAUAUAUUUUUAUCCUUUCAUUUUUCAAUUAGAACUAGGUUAGAUGUUGUUCGUAUAAUCUUGUCCCACGAUAGGAAUACGAAUGAAUAGUUACAAUCUGAAAAAGGGAACAAUAUGACUUUUCACGGGUAUUAUCAUAGGAACAGAGACGAUGACUAGUAUUGAGGUAUUGCGCAUUUUCCAUUUUCCGUCAUUUCCUGCUCUAUACAGCAAAUUGCGAUUGAAUAAUGGACAUCGAGCAUCUAAUAAUUGCUGAAUAAAACCUGUAUUUUUCGCACAAUUACUGUACCUAUUAUACCGUGCUCGUACCACGUAUGCAGUUUCACAGGUAGAAAAGAGAAGUAAAAAUCGAUUCUACUAUUCAAAUGACUAUCAGUAAUCGAAUACUAAAAACAUGCAGUAAAAUUCUUUUAAUAAGGAUUUAUUCGUAUCGCCAAAGUGAAGUCCACAAUAGAUUAAAUGUUCAUAAUAUAUAUAUAAUAUAUAUAUAUAUUAAUGAAAAAAAGAGGAGAAAAAAUGUCGUAAUUGUAAUGCCUUUGUUAACAUAGUUCAAACGUUUGCAUACAAACUGACAUUUGUUAGAAACAGAGCAUCGGUCGUGCAAUGAAUAAACAUUUCACAGCGUGAUCGUUAUUGUCGAACGAUCACGUGAAUUAUAAACAAUCGUACAGUGAAAGCAGGCUAGAUCAGUUUGGCCAAUGUUAAAAAUUUCUUUACUGUUAUAGAUGAAACGUACUGGUAGAAAAAUGGUAACCCAGUGAUCGGAUUACGUUGUACGGGAGAGUAAUUUGGUAUUUUUGACGGAGAAUCAACACACCGAAAGUUAGCAUUUGGCUUAUAGAGCAUAUAUGUACCUCUAGCUACAUUUUCACUCUAUCUACAAUCAAUCGUUUCAAGCAACGGAUCAAUGCAUCCAACUAUUGUUAGCUUCGCAGACUGCGCGUUCGUUUUGAAAAUGUUAUUAAGUGGUUUAAUAAAGCGUACGUUAUUAACGUUAUAAAAGAAGUGUUAUGAAGGUCUCUAUCGCAAAGCGUUCUCGUUGCCUUGGUUUCUUUUUUAUCAAGACCACAAAAGAAAUUAUUUAAAAAAGAAUAAUAAAUCAUGUCAAAGAUUAUGAACAUUUAAAAUUAUGAAAUCAUCAGAAAAAUUUCACAACGGUUUAUAAAAUCUUCGAACCACAUUUGUAAAUAAAAGGUAAGCACGUAAUAAAGCUUUUAUUAUCGAAAUGAAGCUGGUCAGUGUAACCGGGUUAAAAAUUCCUAUGAAUCCUUGUCAUCGUGUUUGAGAGCGGCUCGUCACGCGAACGAUGUCGGCUCGCCACUGUAUACCAAACUCUUAUGAAAGCAACACGAGAUCCAUGCGCAACGAUAUACACGAUUGUGCGCGUUAGCGCGGAAAUUGAAUUACCUUUGUGCGACUGCAGCGAUGAAAGCGAGGCCGGAUUGUACCAUCUUGCAAACGGUCUUCCAAUUAAACGUAGCUACGAAGUACAAUUUACACGUCAAAGGAUCUCGAUGGUAACGUCCCCAUUGGUUUUGUUCCAAAUGGGUUGCUUCAUUGAUCAUAUAUUGCUCAUUAAAAAAAUUGGAAGCAUCUGAUGAUUGUCAAUAAUUAAUCAGGCAUUACCGGCUGACACAUAUUAUCAAUGAGAUAUUACAAGUUUAAGAAGUAAUUGAGAAGCACGAUGUAACAUAUGUACUGAAGGGGUUAAUCUUUAUUUCUUCCUUUUUUCUUCAUUUUAGUACAGUAAAGAGAGGAUAUUCGCUUUUAAUCACAAAUACGUUGAUCAAGAUUAAUUUGGAGGGAUUAGUUCGUUAACUAACGGAGCGACGAGAUGAUGGGAGUUUAAGAGUCCCAUUAGGAUGUUCUCUGAAAACUUGUUUGCAAUUUAAAGUAAGUCAGCGUUUGGUCGGUGGAAAGAAUCGUGGGUGGAAAGAAAAACUUUGUGCCCAGGGGAUGAAAAGACGGCUGGCAUAAAAUUAUAUUUGUUCAGUCGAAUCUUGGACGAAACGGGCUGUAGGACCGUGAUCAGAAUUUUUAUGGAAAGGCAGUGCCGAAUUCAUGAAUACGCGCGCGUUCGCUUCCUGUUCAAGAUUUACGGGCAUCACAAAUGCACGCUUCCGCCCACAUUCAAUGAAAGUUUCCAAGACAUUCGCACGCCAUUUAAUGAAGCUCUAACCCUAGCCUUCAUUUCCAAUAACAAACGUGAUUCCGUGUUGCUCGUUUCUUUGAUAAUGCGCUCUCCUGCAAAGUAAAGUAGGAAAGUUCAAAAGAUUAAAUGUCGAACGGCGUAUUAAAGAGAAUUUAUGUAAAUUCAAAGUAAGAAACAUAACGUAGUUAAUUACGUUAUAUUACCGGCAUAGUAGUUAUUUGAAUUUAAAGUAGCGAUUUUUGUGAUAUAAAAUGUCACGUCGAAUUAAAAUCCCGCACAGGAAAGGUUUCGAUUGCGGGAAAUAUAAACUGCACACGCGUUAAAAUCCAGUUAAUCGAAUUUAAAUGAUAUUCAGCCUUUAUUAAGGUUUCCCGUGACUUCGCACAUACCUUUAACACUGCCGUUUUCAUUAUCAUAAGCGUUACGUUAUUGCAAUCUUACCAAGACCGACACUGCUACACAGGUGAGACAGUCAUUAACAGGGAGCAAUUAAGUUAACUGUGUGCAAAAUGUUAUCAUUGAAUUUUGAUGAUCUCAUUACCUGUUAUUGGCUGUUAUGAUCUUAAUACAUACAGGAAAAGCAUUGUAAAACAUUAACUAACAAAUAUAGGAUUUUGAAGGAUCGGCAAACAAAUUUUCGGUUCCAUUUGGAAAUUUUAUUUUAGUCAUACUGUUCAAUAUUUCACCAAAAGCAGUGAUUCUUAAAAUUAUCGGAUUAACCUUGAACCCAAAAUCGUCCGCAUUAUCCCGGCUGAUCCUCGAAGAAUACAAGCCGCAAACAAGAGAACGAAAGGUAUUAGGAGAAGAAAAGGAGUGUUCGAAAACAAGGUUAAAGACAAGCACGGUAAAAAAGGGGGAUAGAGAAACGGAAUGAAAGAAGAAACGUAAGAAGAGAUGAAAAAUAAGUGAAAAAAAUGAGGAGUAAGAAGAGGGCUCUGCUCGUGUCUGAGGGCGACCCUCGGUGAAAAUGCAAUUUCGGUUCUUGUCUGGAGACGACGUAGCUACCAUGGCUCAUCUUCCUGGCGUCCGUACCUCCUUCAACAUUGUUGAAGGCACAGCCUCUCGUGCACACAGAAGUUCUUCUCUCUGGCAUGUUCCAGGAGAUGAAAGGCUCCCGUGGCUAUCAAAGGGAAAGGGAAGAGAGGUAAAGGCCCCACCCGACAAUGGCCCUGAGCUCCAAGGUUUUCAAGCUCGACGUCCAGGCCUCGGAGGACCAGUCGUGUGAUUUCAACCGGCCUGUCAACUUAUUCCCAUUUCAUCCGAUUUGGAUAAAUAUCACGAUUGUUUCGAUCUUCCGCUCAUCUAGAAUUUUCGGAAACAAAUUUGAAAAUACCAGAAAAUUCAAGUUUCCGCAUAUUAUAAAGCCUGUCGUUUAGAGUCUAGCAGAUUCCACGGGGAAUUUUCUACAUGUCUAGGAAAUGGAGGAAAAACGUCAGCGUAUUACUCACAGAGAGAAACGUUUCCUCUUUUAACCGAUUACGAAACGAAGAAAGAAGGCGGUUCUAAAUUUACAUUGGUUCAUUUUGCAUCCUCGUCGACGAGGUGAACGCGCUCUUCGACCAGCGACAUCUCGCCAGAGAGCCAUCUUCGGCGACGAGAGAACUGGAACAAGGUGUACGAUGAAUUUUCUACAAGAUGUUUGAGAGCACUGCCAAUGAUUCAGCAUUUCUGACCGAUUGCCACGAGAGUGAGAGGGAGAGUAUCGAUAAUGCACGUGCCUCAUUUUACAUUGUUGCAUAUCUUGAUGGAGAACAUUCAAAGUUUCAUACUGCCUUCUUGGAAAUCAAUAAGAUUAGGGAGUACUUUGAGGUCUCCUUAAAUAACUUAAACUCAUUUCAUUUAUUUAAUGCUAUUAGAUAUAAAUGAUUAUAUGAUAUCUUAUUAAUUCCAGUCGGUAAUAUUCUUAAAAAUACAGUAAAGGAUUAGGAAAAAGUUUAUGGAACCCAGUCACAUAUUCGAUAGUGUAGCUGUAGGCGCGAACCAGACAUAAUAAGGCAUUUGUAUGUUCAUCGUGAUUUUGAUAUUCGAGGUCCUGUCUUUUUAGCCAUGCUUUUAAAUCAAGGAUCGAGAAUAGCAAAAAGAAGGAAGCUUUAAACGGGCAACGUAAAAACAUUACGCUCGAAUCAGCGAGACAUCGUAAUUCAAUUAAAAAUGAAACAGAAAACAGUCGAUAACGGACUACGUUAACAGAUUAAAAAGAAAUACGAUGAAAGCACGUGUUCAGUAUACAGUGUACUACGUAUACGUCACGGGAGUAGAGAGAGAUGGAAAAAGAAAGAAAAAGAGAGACAGAGAGAUACAAAUCCAGUCGAUGGAAAUGUUACUGUAAAUCCGCGUCAAGAUCAGAGCUGACGUCAUCCUCUGACGCACCAUCAUCUGACAUACUCUGCAUUGUUCAGCGAACGUUCGAAAAUAUGUUACAGGAAAAUGGUAGUUUCGAUACGUGCUGCCAUCUUCGCAAUUGGUUGAUGCUUCUGGUAAGGCAGAGAACUGUACGUCAUAGUGAACAAUAACUUAGAUUCUACAUGAGAAUGAAUAGAACAUCUCGUGUUUGCGGACUCUGUAACAGGUGUUCUUGUUUCUGGAGGGGAGUUCGGACUGCUGGUUGCACAUCAGUGAUUUCUAUCUUCGACAUCAGACGUUGUCUUUUCGCUGCCAAAAUUGUACCCAGGAAACUGAAAUAUCGAGGUAAAGUAGGCAGGUGUGCUUCCUGCAGACGCACAAGUACAUACAUAAUAAGAAGAUAAUAUUCAAGCAUAGAGAAGGAGCAGCGAGCGUAAGAGUGUGAGUGAUCACGUCCUGUACUUUCCUAAGCACCUGCAGAGCCAGAACAGAUCCGGCAGGUGCAAAAAGGAUACGGGAAACCCCGAAGAACUUUAUGCAAUCCUCGUUGAACGGAGCGCGGCGAUUUUCCUGCUGUUUCCCGGGUAACUUUUGCGUCAGCCUUUAUCGCCGGAAAAAAACUCGUUAGCUUGGCGCGGCCUAGCUGGCCUGCUUCCAGAACAAACCGCCAGAGGUCCGGCGUUACGUGCGAACCGAGGCCGCGCCGAUGAAUUUGGUGACGUAAGAGAAUAAAACCACCAUAAAGGCUUGCUGGUUCAUUAGCGCAAACCGCGGAGCAUGGCAUCCUUGUAGAGAGAGCGAGGUUAUAAUCCAUAGUCUGAUCUCGGUGUAUCCACAGUACGUACCUUUAAAACGUUCGCUGCGUUGGCACAGAACUCCGACAUUCCACUAGACUUACUGACUAGAGGAUAGUAAAACGAUAAAACAUUUACGAUCACGGAAAGUUUUCAGAUCUAUUUCACCUAAUACUUUUAUGUAUUUUAAGCAUAAUUUUACAUUAAUUACAGAGAGACAAAAGAACACGAGAGUGAAAAAAGAUUAGAUACAAUGUUUUAUAUAGGUUAAUACAAGUAGAACUCAUUUCAAAAAUUGUUCGUUGCAUUGUGUUACGCAUGCGCAGUAAUGCAGAGUCACUGUUAUUACACGGUACAAAGAUUCGGUUGAUUAUCGGAACGAAAUAUAUUUAUUAUUAUUAUCGAAUAUUUCACAGUAAAUAUUUCAAUUAAUAAUCACUAUGUAUUAAUUUAUACCAUCAGUAGAAUAUGUUAAUAUGUGUCGUUGACGUUCCUAUAUUUUCUUUUAUUUUUAAAUAUUUAAUACAUGCUACUAUAAUUGUUACAGGAGUAAAUUACUUUUCGAAACGCGUUUGGUUUUUGAAUUAUCGACAUGUAGUCCUCCGGUUGUUCAGUGCUGCAGCGAAACGCAGCAAUAAGGAGAGAUAAUAUACAUACUUGACUUCCACUCGAGGAGGUCGGGUAGAUAAGAGAAGAGUGAACCUGCGAAAUUGACUUUCGUAAUUACCGACCGAGAAUGCGCCAGUAUCCAAGGUAGUAUUCGGCCGAUCUACAGCCGUAGAUCAUUCGGAUACGAUAAAGUUUGCAAUUUGUACGCAAAGAGAAAUGACCUAGGCUUAUUCAUUCGGCCAUUCGCCAAUUACCGUGUCGAUCUUCUCUUUGAAACUCCAUUUAAUCUGCAUCGCAGUAAUUGCUACAUAACACCUUAUUUUUACAUCUUGUGCAUGACCUCUUCUAUUUUAAAAUACGUCGAUCAAUAUGUUAAUACUGCAGUUCAUCUUCUUUCAAUUUUGGUAAUGCUAACAUUAUUUUAUGAAUUGCGUUGUGACACGAUACAGAGAUAUUCUUUAUGAUUUCCUUCUUAUUUUCCUUUUCAUAACUCUUUGAAAAUUGAAUUCAGUUUCUUAAAAUUGUGUCAAGUAUCAGAAAGAAACUACCUCACAGGGAAAGCUCUAUAUAUCAAUUAUGUGUAUUGUAUAUAUUGUUUUUACGGUAAACUUUCAAUCACUUUAGGUAGUAUAGUUGAAUAAUUUCCGGAAAUUAGAAAAACAUCUAUAUCAAGGAAUUUGUGAACAAAGUACAAUUUGGAACGACACACAGCAUGUGUGUAUCUUGUAUAUGAAUCGAUAGUGGUUCGCAUCCAGCGUUGCGUAAAAUGACGUCAAUUGGCGUGUAAGGAUUAUGUGAAAAAACUGACCGUAAUCGUUAUUGACUACUUAAAACGCAUACAAUUAAGGCUUUCUUUCGAAAGCAGGUUAUUUAAUCAUUGAUAACUUGAGACUCUCUUCCUUAUUGAAGUCAUCUCGAAAAUCCAAUUAGUGGAGAACUGCUUAACGGAGCACCAGUCACUUAAAUCGUACUUUACCAAUUUCCUUUCUUAUUAGAGGAUCAAAUGGCAAAUGAAUGAAAUAAGCGUGCUAUGUGCAGUAUAAACACAAAAUUCAGCAAUUAUAUACAUCUUGCCUUGUGCAUGCUGCAAUUUGCAAGGAAUGAGGUACUGCUUCUACUUGCAAUUAUAUUUCUGGUAAAGAAACUACGAGUUUGAAGGAUCUUAAAUAUUUCUAUAUUGUACUAUAAGAAUUAAACCAAAUUAACUUCAAAAAAAAUUGUCUUGAACAUCAAGCUUCAAUUUCCAAUCUUAACUGAAUAGAAAUUACCACCAAAAAGUAUUCUAUAAGCUGUGGCAAGCAGUACAAUUUUCGGUCUCGAAAGAAAGUGCGCCAGUUAUGCAAUUAAGAUUUUAAUAGAACUCUCAUGUUCGUGAAUCUCCGUUGGCCGCACCGAACACCGCAUCCCUCAAGGGGUUAAUUUCAUUUCGACUGUCUGGGCAACAUGCGAGCCGAAGGUGUGCAUCACGAAAGAACCUGCCACUGCACCAGCAUGUAUUGUUGUCGUCGACGUCGAAAGAGUUCAGUGUCAAACGUCAGCGAUUUGUUUUCAUGAUGCACGAACGCUAUGGUUGCACAACAACGAUUUAUCGCUGACGAAUGUUAUUGGCGACUCGUGAUCAGCGUGUACGCAAUAUCUUCACGGACGAGCCAUCGUAAUGCCGAGCGAGCCGAUUUUAAAAAUCAAUUCAUCUCCACGCGCCUGCGGGUAACGGCCGAUGUCCAGCUUUUAAUACGUCGUUAAGAUUGAGUGCUCGGAUUGCAAUUGAACUGUCGCGUUUUGAACGCCGACAAAUAAAAAAGUACCGAGAAAAAUCUAUACAUGGAAUGUUUAGCAGUUCUUUGCGCUAAUUAUUUGAAUCCUUCUUAAUAAUUAAUGGCGUGUUGCUUGAAAUAAGUAGAAAGUUAGUGAAUAUUAAAGUAUUCAUUGGAAUGUGCAUUUUUUGGCCAUUAAGUAAUAUUUAAUGACCAAAAUUUUGUUUGAUUGUGAAGAAACAAGCGUAGUGAUUGCUUAAAAAUUUAAUAGUUUAAUAAUAACAAACUAACAUUUAAACAACACACCUCAAAGUUAAGGUCCUCUGAAGAGUUAAAUUAAUACCGUGUACAAUAUUCAUGCACAAAAAAAAUAUUUUACUUUUGAAGUGACAAUCUAGAUACCGGGAGAUACAAUAAUUUAAAAUACAAAGCUUAAAUUAUGAACUAUUAAAAAUAGUCUGCAAUGAUAGCGAACUUGUCGAUAAGACAAUUAUUUUUCUUGAAAGAACUCAAAAAUAUACGUACUCACGAAUAUUAAUUGUCGCAAAAUAAAGUCAUCCACUAGCAGCGGUAAAUUAUUUCUGUGACUAAAAACGGAUAUUAUUAAAGAUUUUUGGAAUAUACGCUGCGGAAUAGUAACUGGCCAAUCGAGAACGCGUUAUCUUAUCAUCAGCCAACAGCCCAACUUCUCCAUCCAAAUGCGUGCUCUAGUAUACAGGAGAUAACAUUUCGCCUCGUGGCCAAUGAGAUUCUAUUUGAGAUCCUGCUCGCUCGGUUGUGGAGAAAUCAGAAUCCGGAAUACGAGACAUGCAACUCGAUCUUGCGCUCAUCUCGAUUUCAGUCUCCCUUCCGAUCAAACACCGCUUCUUGGCAAUCUUGUAAUCUCGCCGAACAAGUCCUCUAGACUCGUUGAUCUAGACAUCGUAUACGCCGCGUUUAGCUCUAUAUUUUUACAUUACGUAUGAUUAAUUAUUAAUCGAUAACUUGUAAUUCUAGUUAAGACUCUCUUGAGACUUGGUAUCACGUUACGUUCAUCUAUAAAUUGCAUUACGUUCGCAAUACGUAUUUGAAUUUAAGAACGUUGGUAUUUACUGUUAUCACUGUUUUGGAUUAUAAAAACAUUUUCAAGUAGAUUAAACUGUGGAAAUCGUACUUUUUGUGAUAUUAUGUAUGUGUAACUUUUAUUUUGCAUAUUUAUGAGUAGUAGAAUCAACAGAAAAUAUUGUAAUCAAUCGCAACUUUUGUUCUCACAAGCGAAAAAAAAUUAGAGUAUAGAGAAUUUAUGCUUUUGAUUUGAAAUGACGAACAAACGUUUUCAAAUGAAACAAAGAGAAGUGUUUGUAUUCAUCGCUGUAUCACAGAAGAUUUGUAAAAUCUCACAUCGUAACUAUGUAAACGAAGAAGAAGCGAUAGCUUGCUUUAAAGAUUUUCAAAAAUAUUUGCAAAUAUUGAACUAAAAUUUCUCUUCGUUCGAAACUAUCGCGAGGAAAUCAAAUUUUUGAUGAAAGAAAAUACAUACCGAGGUCUCAAUGCCGCUAUCGCGGCACACUGUUUGCCAUGAAUUAUGCUGAGAUUUCAUAAGUGCUUCUGACCUUUACUGCGAAGAAUUUUCUUGGAACGAUGACGACGAUGAUAUCGCAGGCGAGAGUUAAUAAUCGAUGUUCUACGUUCGAAAAAUGUUUGACAGAAUUAAGUAACGAUUACGUGGACAUUCAAGCGAAGGAUAAAUCUCACGAUUAGAUAAUAAUAGUAAUAGUUGCGGUUUAAACAGUCACGAUUACAGUGCUGUACUAUACUUUAAACGCUGUUUUAUUCUUUGUAUUAUUUUCUUUCUUCGUAUAAUUUUUUAAUUCAAACUCUACUUAUUAAAUUAUUUCUAUUAACAACUAAAAGCGCGCUAUUGAAUUCUUGCCUAUUCAUGAAGGGAUUCCCGGAGUUUCAUCUCGUGAAAAUGCAUGGAGUCCGACAAUUAACAUCGCAUCCAUUCACGUAAGCUCGGUGGCAUUACGGAAAGGAAAAAAAAUAAGCGUUCAUUCAUGAAAACUCUUAUCUGCGUAUACAUAGCCAUAGAUUACCAACCCCGUUUCAUUCACACGUUCGUGGAACAGGUUGAAUUUAUCGCUGACAUCUUUCCGUUGAAAAAAGGACCAUAUCAGUUUUACAAACCCCACUAUUUUAUAUUCCAUCCUCUUCCAAUUUUUGUCCAAGAUACCAAGGACUUCAAUUUGAUUACCACGAAUUACUGUGAAUUAACAAAAAUCAACGCAUUCGCUUCAAUCUCUCUAAAAUAACAAGAAGAAAACCAUAGGAACUAAACUGAAGAAAACUACCAUGUUACAACACCUUUAAUUGACUAAAAAAUAACGGCAGUAAGGAAACCAUAGAAACCAAAUAGGAGAAAUCUCAUAGAAGAAACGGUAUCGAAAGAAACUAAGCAGGAGCAUCGUCGAAUCGACUCACGUGCACUGGAAUACAGGCGAGCUUCGAGUCACAGUGCAGGAUAUAUGACGCAAAUCGAAUGCACGCGGUUCUGUUUACGUACGAGAUAAGAGUUUGUCCUGGGUCAAGGCUGCACGCAGUUUGAUAAUCCAAUUCAGAUAACGGGAACGUGCAUAGAGUUUGCUGGACCUUGAGUACAUACAUACAUAUAUAUACAUAUAACGACGGUCUACGCGAGAAAGAGAAACGUCCGAAGAGAAUACACACGAGGCAGCGCAAGGCAAGGCGAGUCUCGAUGACUCAUUUCGCGAGCAAUUUGUCAAAUCAUCUGCCCCUUCUCUCCCCCGAAAGACCCGCCCUCGUUCCCUCUCCUUCAAACGGAAAGACUCACGUUUAUCGUGAAUAGUACGCCUAACAUGCGCACGUGACAUUUCGAGUAUCUCGAAUUAAACUGUAAACAUCGUAGUACAACCGACGGUUGAAGACCAGCCACGCGGACAGUGUCAAUGAUCCUACUAUUUAUUGGAUCGUUGCUUACGCACGGCGCCACAUGUCUGUGGAUAUGUACGUGUACACGUCCGGCUGUAUGUGUGCGGGCAUCUCUCCUUCCUCGUCUCGCUUUUGUCAGUCGUGACCUCGAAGGUUAUUUCGUCUGUCUACCUCUUUAUCUUCUGAAUCUCCUUGCGAGACCCGAUUUUCGAAAUCUUUCAUUCAGAUGCUCUGCGGUGAAUGACACGGCAUGAACAGGAAUUUGGCUUUGAUUCUCGAUUGAUAUGAUAUUUAUGUAUGAUAGGAGCCUGAAAAUUUAUACCAGCUGUCUGUGGAUUAUGAUGUAUGAUUGUUAUAUCGUAUCGUUAUUGCAGAUUGGUACAGAUUCAAACAGAUUGGUUUUGGAAUGUACGUGUGUUCAAGUGUUUUCACACUUAAAUGCUCUUCUCUUCUCCUUCAAUAGAAUAUCAUGAAGUAUACGUUUCUCAAGUCUCUUCAGCCUCUAUCUUUCAAAAACUCGAAGAACACUUAGGAACAAUGAAACGUGAACAAAGUCAUCUCUUCUCCUCGUAAAUCCUCCAGAUAUCUUCUCUGAGACUGAAAGUCUCGAUGACCAUGAUAUAAAUCGCGCGAACAGCCUCUGGUGACUUUGCAACUGCCGCUAGAUUCCAUGCAGCGACUGUACGAGUUUCGUUUACUCUCGUUUCGACUACUCUCCACGUCUUCAUCUCGACCGAUUCUCCGUCACGAUUCAUAGGGGUAUAGGUAAACGACAUCCGCGUCCGAGUGGGCACGUGCGUGUGCCUCUGCGUUCGCGUGUCCCGUAGUUUGUGUCGUUGACUGAGGGUGGUGGUGGUCGUGUGAUGGUAGUGGCGAAAAGGGGGAAAAGGGUGACGGAGGAGGGAGAGCAAGCACGUGUGAGGACGUAGUACGAUUUACUCGCAGAUCGGUGGAACGUCUUCCUCGUUCCCUCCCUCGCCCUCUUUCUCGUCGAUGAGCUGUCUUUCUUUCUCUUCCACCCCUUCCCCCUAUCGCGUACUUCUCUUCCUCAUUCUCCUCCUCUUCGUCGUUCCUCCUCCUCCUCCUCCGCCUUCUCCUCCUUCACCACCUCUUCCUCCUACCACUGACAUUAUACUACUACUACGGGGUACUCCACUUUCAUUCAGUCGCUUCUAAAAAUAAAGUCCCUGAUUCACAAUGCAUGAAUGACAAUCACACUGAAAGGAAUACCGCACAGACUUGUAGCCUUUCUCACUCUCUUUCCCCCCUAUCUCACUCCCUCCAACCGUCCCAUGUCUUCUUUGUCUCUCUUGUCGAUCUCCUGCUCUUGCGAUUUUCCCUCUCCCUCCGUCUUUCUGUUGUAUAUGUCCUGUCUCGUUCUACCAUUCCCGAAGCACUCUCUCUCGCUCUCUUUUCGCUCCUAUCACUCUCGCCUCUCCUGUCUCGCUUCUUUUUCCAACCUGUUCUCUCGUUCCCUGGCGCCCACCCCCUUUCUCCCUCCUCUCUCUCUCUCUCUCUCUCACUCUCUCUCUCUCUCUCUCUCUCUUUCUCUCUGUGUCUAUGUAUGUAUAUAUAUGCCUGCCUCUGUGUGUAUAUGUGUCGUACUCUCUUGUAAGAGAGUGAAAUCUCGGUUCGCCUGUUGCAUCGAACUAUUGGUUGGUUCCGUGUAAAUAGAUCCCGUGGAAAUUCGAAGUAGCAUUGCCGCGUUGCGCCGGCCUGAUCGAUCGGAGGGAUCGAUCUCGCACCGGAGAACUUGUUGCACAUCGUGCCAGAUUUUACAAAUGUCACGGUCCGAUGUUUGAAUUGGCAUCAGAGAGUAUGUAGGUCCGUUUGAAUAAACGUUAUCGUUUGCUCGUACUAUCCGAUGGUGAUCGAGUAAGUCGAGGAAUAGGAAGCAGUUGGAGAAUAGUUACUGAAACGUUUCUCUGCUCGUAGGUGUUUGGGUGAAGCGGUGGCUGCUUCUUUCGAGGAUAAAUGAGAAGUUUGAUAUUGCAGAGGAUGAAAAAUUCUCAGUAGAGUUCGCAAGACCGAUACGAUAACGAAGCGGGCUAUCUAAAGCAAGAUCGUAUCGCUGGCUGAUAAACGAAUUCUGCGAGGAAAACAAGUGUAGAUUCAACGAGAUAUCGCUGGUACUACGUUAUGACAGUUUCAGGCGAUGUGCGUGUUCGUUUUAAAGUACAUGUAUAAUUAAAGUGUAGCGAUGAAGGCACAUAACAGGAUCCCAUGCAAUUUAUUAUCCAUAUAAUUACAGAAUUCUUAAUGUAUCAAGUCAAGAAAACGAGAAGGGUUCGUUUUAUGAAGAUGAACAACGAAGAUAGCAACCGGAAAUACCAGCUAUAAUUUGGGAAUGCACAAUUGUCCCGUAACGCUCUGAAGGUUCACGGAAAUAGGGGCGAGUAACCCUGAAUAUCUCGUGAAGUUCUCGGCUCGAAACACCCAAGGAGAACUGGUUUCAACUCAUCAUAGUCACCUAGCUGUUCACGAUACGGCAUUCCAAAAUAAAAAGCAGAAUAAUCGAAUGUCCCUGAAAACAGCAAAACACUGCCGAAUUCAAUAAUAUUGCUUGAAGCUGUUUUAAAGCCUACAGGUAUUUCAAAAAUUCUUCAGUGAAGAAUUAUCCGCGAGGAGAGUUAUAUUGGCUCGUACAUACAAAAGACCUACUUUCAUCACCCUUGUUGAAGUUACUCACGCGAAACAUCCUUGUUAGUAGAUAAUCCUAUAAUAAAUGCAGCCUACAGAAACUUCAAGACACUUCAAAUUCUUCUUGCGAAAGAAAUUGCAGCAACGUCCAACGGUACUAUAAAAAUAUGGCAAACGUUUGCGAACGUUUAUCCACUUACGAUAUUCCAAACGACUAGAUGAGAAGUUAAAUAUUUCUUUAAAAUCAAAAUGCUUCAUGGCAUCAGAAGUUAAAGAAAAAGUGACUCCAGUACUUAAAGAAAAGAGAAAAAUAAUUCAAAGUCGGAUAAUUCCAAGAUUAAAAUAUCUCUCUAGUUGAACCAUGGCUACGACAAUCCUGGACUCUAAUCUGACUGCAAGAUUUCAGCGAAGGGACAACUUUGUGUCCAAGAGUUUCCCUUGACGAGACUCCCUCGUUAUUAUCCGCCGCUGCGAGCCUCUACUCUAACUAAAGAGAGACUUUAGAGUGCAAGACAGAGCUAUAGGUAGAGAGAGCAGCAGUACCAGCAGCUCGAACCGCUCACAGCUAAAUAUAUCUCUCUCUCUAGAGUUACUCAAGGUCACAGCGCUUGGAUUGGCCCACGAUAAAGCGCAGCUCCGUACCCGUCCCUCGGCUGCCCGGCCUUAUGCUUCGUUCGCACACAUUCUGCCGAGCCGUGGCCCACAUGUCACUUCGCGACAAUGUCGUAUACCAGCCGCAUCGGGUACACGUGUUCGAUCGAACGCAGCAAUAGUCACUCCGCAUACGAGCCGUAUUUUCAGCCGCGAUACGUUCCUAUAUAGUCACGUCUACACCUUUCGAUCUUUUUCCCCAUUGUUCUGUUUCAUUAGUCACAAUCGCAAUUUCGCAUUAAUCGCGAUCAAAAUUCUGUGUUCUCGUUUCACUCACGUUCCGUCAUUUUUUGGAACGUUUUUCUCUUUAAAUAUCACGGAACACUUUCGAUCCCUUUCGAUCAUCGACUUUUUAAAUCUUCGCUACUUUUGCAUUUUGGUUUUAAAGUAGAGUAUUUUAUGGAAGUUGGUUCUUUUUAUGAAUAAAGUUGCCUAUUUUCUUUAAGUUACAUAUUAAAAUUGGAUAUUUCUGAAAAAUAUAAAUAACAAUAAAAAUAAUCUGUGUGAUAAAAAGAAAGAUAUUUCGGAGGUAGUAUCGUUUUAGCCCGUUCAGGGAAUAUACGAUAUAUUGCAUACGUGAUGUUAUUAUUAUUCUAUGAAGCACGUAUACUGACUUCCGGGUAAACCAUAGACACGGAAAGAGAGUGUGACCUGUUGCUGACGACAAAUAAUUGGCGAGUUACAGGUCGCUCUUUAGAAACACCAACAGAAAGGCGUAGAAUCCAUGGGGCGUAUGUUCCGUAAUAAUGUAUACGCAAUGUAGGAUCUUACAAACAAUGGCGUAGGCUUCAAUGCAGCUUAAGUUCAUUAUAAAAUUAUUUACAUUUUAUUAACAUCAUUCGUUUGCGAGAUUUCUAUUAAUCCUACUACGUUCUUUAAAUUUUAUAAAAAAAAUCAUAGAUUAAUAUUCAUGAUUUUUUACUUUAACGUUAUAUUACAGUU
Bombus pyrosoma is the source of this 14847-nucleotide long non-coding RNA. RefSeq lists it as uncharacterized. The transcript has 17 exons. NCBI's taxonomy places the organism in Eukaryota, Metazoa, Arthropoda, Insecta, Hymenoptera, Apidae. The record is from RefSeq and is a predicted model, not a curated record.